This 253-nucleotide ribosomal RNA is filed under the name uncultured bacterium. RNAcentral describes it as "partial 16S ribosomal RNA". It matches the Rfam family "Bacterial small subunit ribosomal RNA", at positions 524 to 776 of the family's 1533-position model. The record is from RNAcentral.
UACGAAGGGGGCUAGCGUUGUUCGGAAUCACUGGGCGUAAAGCGCGCGUAGGCGGAUUGCUAAGUCAGGGGUGAAAUCCUGGAGCUCAACUCCAGAACUGCCUUUGAUACUGGCGACCUUGAGUCCGGGAGAGGUGAGUGGAACUGCGAGUGUAGAGGUGAAAUUCGUAGAUAUUCGCAAGAACACCAGUGGCGAAGGCGGCUCACUGGCCCGGUACUGACGCUGAGGUGCGAAAGCGUGGGGAGCAAACAGG